GUGCUUGUAGCUCAGCAGGAUAGAGCGUCCGCCUCCUAAGCGGAAGGUCGUGGGUUCGAAUCCCGUCAAGCACG
This 74-nucleotide transfer RNA is filed under the name Variimorphobacter saccharofermentans. It matches the Rfam family "tRNA". From Rfam's summary of the family: Transfer RNA (tRNA) molecules are approximately 80 nucleotides in length. Lineage: Bacteria; Bacillati; Bacillota; Clostridia; Lachnospirales; Lachnospiraceae. The record is from Rfam by way of RNAcentral.